UUUUUUUCUUUUUUUUUUUCAGGGUCUCCCUCUGUCACCCAGGCUGGAGUGCAGGGAUGCGAACAUGGCUCACUGUAGCUUCAACCUCCUGGGCUCAAGUGAUCCUCCUGCCUCAGCCUCCUGAGAAGGUAAGACCACAGGCACAUGCCACCACACCUGGCUAAUUUUAAAAAUUUUUUUGUAGAGCUGAGGUCUCACUGUCUUGUCCAGGAUGGUCUUGAACCUCUGGACUUCUGCCUUGGCCUCUCAAAGCUCUGGGAUUACAGGCAUGAGUCACCACACCUGGACUACAUCCCAUUCUUUCUUACAACCAGACUUUUUUGGUAUUUUCCUCUUACCCCCAAUUGUCCAAAUCUUUGCACAAAUCUUAUAAGGUAUAUUUAAGUCAAACAUUCUCUACAAAACCUUACCUCACAUUGAUAUUCACUGUUAACCUUCUCCCUUCAAAAUGUUUGUGUGGCAUUAAGGCCAUAGCCCUUAAAUGAACUAGAAACUUGCUUUCAGAAUAAUCUACUUAGUAACAAAUAAAAAUCCCAUUUGCAUUUUUACUAAGAAUGAACAUUAUCUUCAGGGAUACCAUGGCAAAAUUUCAUGUCUAAUGAAAGGAAACAGCUUCAGACAAGAAGGAAUUCCAUUUACACAGUAAUGUUUUGCAUUGCUCCUUUGAUGGCUUCAAGAAGAGGAGACAAAAUUAAACAAAGUUUAUAAAUACCUUAAACUUCCUUUCUUCCUUGAUAGUAAGCAGAAAUACUGUAUGAAGUCUAUCUCAAAAUCUGACUUUAGAAUUGCUUUGAUAAACAAAAUUACUCAAGUCAUAUCUAUGCCUUUCUGUUCAUUAAGAGAAGGAUAAGGUGGCAAAAUAUAAAAAGAUGGAACCAGUAAGAGAUUUGACUAUUGGAUAAAUGUUAUUAAAGGAAAAAUUAGGUCUGAAUUUUUGUCCAAUUAACACCAAACAUCAGGCAUCUCUUGAAAAGCCACCCAAAGCACCAUAAUAUCAAAGAGUUAAUUGUAUCAUAAAAAGUAAAAAUAUGGCCCCAACUUUGUCAUCACCUCUCCUUCUUGUUCCUCAUCAUCCCCACUACAAUAAAAGGAACAAUGUAAAUAUAAGUCUGAGGCUGGACUUGGCUAGUUUUUCUGUAUUUACACUAAGACAUGGUCCACAGUGAAUCAGCCCUCACCAAGACUCUAGUAAAGACCAGCAUUGUAUCAGCUCUGGUCAGGGUAUGAAGUAUUGGUUAUUAUGGGAUGAAUUGUGUUUUCCUAAAUUAAUAUUUUGCUUUUGUAACUAUCAGCCUCAAAAUUUGACUUCAUUUGGAGAUAGGGUCUUUAAAGAGGUAAUUAAAUUAAUAUGGAGUCAUUAGGGUGGUCCCUAAUCCAAUAUGACGUAUAUUCUUACAAGAAGAGGACAUUUGGUUGCAGACACACAGAGAUGGAAGAGCCCGGGAAGACACAGGUAGAAGAUGGCCAUCUACAAGCCAAGGAGAGAGACUUCAGAAGAAUUCAACUCUGCCAUCACCUUGAUCUCAGACAUUUAUCCUCUAAAACUGUGGUGCACUGUGCUAUGGCAUCCCUAGCAAACUAAUACCUAGGUGUUGGUAUACAGAGAGCCAGA
This 1612-nucleotide long non-coding RNA is filed under the name Macaca fascicularis (crab-eating macaque). RNAcentral's name for it is "lncRNA (ENSMFAG00000064849.1)". Lineage: Eukaryota; Metazoa; Chordata; Mammalia; Primates; Cercopithecidae. The record is from RNAcentral.